AAAAAGCGCAGCUUGACUUAGCGUGAUCCGCUCAUCGCGGCUUAAUCGGUUGCAUGUUUGCCGAGCCAGGAUGAGAAGGUGAAGCUAUGUCAAGCCAGGUGUAGAUAGUCGGGUUAAGUGCACGUCCACGGCUUUCUGAAAUAGACCACGGUAUCGAUCACAGAUUCACUGAUUCAGAGAUGGAGAAGACGUGUGCGGCAUAUUUUUCACCCGAGGAGCAGCAACUCAUUAUGGAAAGUUAUGAGGAGGUAAAGCAUAUAAUAUGCAGAAAAGGAAAUACGGCGGCUGUUAUUAAACUGAGAGAAAAAGCCUGGCAGACAAUAGCGGACCGACUGAAUGCCUGUUAAGAAGACUCAUUUGUCUGGCACUGGGUUGGGGCCGCCAGCUCCAGACUUCACCCCUGCUGAGGAAAU
Molecule: long non-coding RNA, 413 nt
Organism: Esox lucius (northern pike)
Lineage: Eukaryota; Metazoa; Chordata; Actinopteri; Esociformes; Esocidae
Source: Ensembl